RNAcentral lists this long non-coding RNA (976 nucleotides) under Homo sapiens (human). RNAcentral's name for it is "HSALNT0154291". Lineage: Eukaryota; Metazoa; Chordata; Mammalia; Primates; Hominidae. The record is from RNAcentral.
ACCCACACAGUGCUGGGGUUUAAGGGAGGCCUGCUUUUUUCUCUCCAUUUACAGAUGGGAAAGCUGACAUAAACGGGUAGGUGGUAGAGGUGGGAUUUGAACCCAGGUAACCUAACUCCAAACUUCUGCAUCUUGUCAUAAGGAUCCAAAUCUUAGGCUUUAAGGGGUUCUGUGCAGAUCCUCAGCAGCCUCCCCAGCUUCAGAUCCGGCCUCCUGAGCUCCAGUCUCUCUGAUACCUGCACCCAGGCUCAGGUGCAGGCCAGAGCUCACCUGACUCUGGUGAGCUGCUCUGCCCUACACCGGGAUUGCAGCACACAUCACAUGGCGCUGUCAUUGUCAGAUCCAUCUCUGUGUCCCCACACCCAGCCUGACACAUGGAGCCUGGGAUACAAUAGAUGCUCAAACCGUUGGAGACACGCACAGCAACUUGGGGUAGGGAAGAGAGUCUGGAUGGGAGACAUCAGACAUCACUAUGUCAUGGAGAACCCCCUGCAACUGCAUAAAGAUGGUUUAGGUGCCAGUGGCUUCCGAAUAAAACAGCAUUCUUGAAGUGAACAGCUGAUGAGGACAUGAAAUAUUAUGCCAAAGCUGGCAUCACACUGUUCUUUUUCCUGGAUGAAAAUCUCUCUGAGAAGCAUUUGCUCUUAACUUUGGUGUCCUGGGGACUGCUGCCUUAUCCCAGGAAGCCACCCAGAGUCUUGGAUGUGUGGGAUCCUUAGGACUUCAUGGUAAACCUGCUCUAGUCCCUCGGGUUAGUAAAAUGAAGCCCAGGACAUCUGAGAGCCCCCAGCACUUCCAUAGAAAUGGACCAAAAUCCCUUCUCCCAGGGGGAGAAACCUGGAAUAAGCUCAAGAGGACAGACGGCUAAAUUUUCAAGAAUCGUGUGAGCUGCUGUUAAACAAGCCAUUAUUAAAACUUUAAUUGUGUAAACUUACAAUUAGGUCAGUUAUAUUAAAAGUAAAAGUGAUACAUACCC